UUUAUGUCUCUGUUUUAUCUUUUUAAGCAGAAGAAAGUUAAGACUGACUAGGAAUUCUAAGUGAGGAAGAGUCCCUUUCCCAUUCCGCUGCAGCCAUGAGGAGAAUACUCGUAAGAAUCAGACUUUACUUCUUUUUUACCUAUGGAACUUCAUCAUGACCCACUUUAACAGGCAGGAGUCUUACAAUAUUUUCAAGGAAUUUGACAAGGGAAGAGGACCAGUGCUGACCAAGUGAAGAAAAAGAAGAGUCUAUUGCCAAGCUUUGUACAGCAGCCAAUAUCUGAUUAAGGAGUGGGCAGACGGUUAUGCUGGCAUUGAUCCUGUUUCCAAAAGCAGAUCAACAUGAUUCCUCAAGACUCCAAAGAGAUCAACUAUGGGACCUGAAAAUAA
Molecule: long non-coding RNA, 390 nt
Organism: Saccostrea cuccullata (small rock oyster)
Lineage: Eukaryota; Metazoa; Mollusca; Bivalvia; Ostreida; Ostreidae
Exons: 3
Source: RefSeq, a predicted model, not a curated record